GCAUAUCAAUAAGCGGAGGAAAAGAAACCAACAGGGAUUGCCUUAGUAACGGCGAGUGAAGCGGCAAAAGCUCAAAUUUGAAAUCUGGCACCUUCGGUGUCCGAGUUGUAAUUUGAAGAAGGUAACUUUGGAGUUGGCUCUUGUCUAUGUUCCUUGGAACAGGACGUCACAGAGGGUGAGAAUCCCGUGCGAUGAGAUGCCCAAUUCUAUGUAAAGUGCUUUCGAAGAGUCGAGUUGUUUGGGAAUGCAGCUCUAAGUGGGUGGUAAAUUCCAUCUAAAGCUAAAUAUUGGCGAGAGACCGAUAGCGAACAAGUACAGUGAUGGAAAGAUGAAAAGAACUUUGAAAAGAGAGUGAAAAAGUACGUGAAAUUGUUGAAAGGGAAGGGCUUGAGAUCAGACUUGGUAUUUUGCGAUCCUUUCCUUCUUGGUUGGGUUCCUCGCAGCUUACUGGGCCAGCAUCGGUUUGGAUGGUAGGAUAAUGACUAAGGAAUGUGGCUCUACUUCGGUGGAGUGUUAUAGCCUUGGUUGAUACUGCCUGUCUAGACCGAGGACUGCGUCUUUUGACUAGGAUGUUGGCAUAAUGAUCUUAAGCCACCCGUCUUGAAACACGGACCAAGGAGUCUAACGUCUAUGCGAGUGUUUGGGUGUAAAACCCGUACGCGUAAUGAAAGUGAACGUAGGUGAGAGCUCUUAAGAGUGCAUCAUCGACCGAUCCUGAUGUCUUCGGAUGGAUUUGAGUAAGAGCAUAGCUGUUGGGACCCGAAAGAUGGUGAACUAUGCCUGAAUAGGGUGAAGCCAGAGGAAACUCUGGUGGAGGCUCGUAGCGGUUCUGACGUGCAAAUCGAUCGUCGAAUUUGGGUAUAGGGGCGAAAGACUAAUCGAACCAUCUAGUAGCUGGUUCCUGCCGAA
Molecule: ribosomal RNA, 909 nt
Filed under: Debaryomyces hansenii
Lineage: Eukaryota; Fungi; Ascomycota; Pichiomycetes; Serinales; Debaryomycetaceae
Description: LSU rRNA
Rfam family: Eukaryotic large subunit ribosomal RNA
Source: RNAcentral